GUGAACGCUGGCGGUAGGCCUAACACAUGCAAGUCGAACGGCAGCACAGUAAGAGCUUGCUCUUACGGGUGGCGAGUGGCGGACGGGUGAGGAAUACAUCGGAAUCUACUUUUUCGUGGGGGGUAACGUAGGGAAACUUACGCUAAUACCGCAUACGACCUACGGGUGAAAGCAGGGGAUCUUCGGACCUUGCGCGAUUGAAUGAGCCGAUGUCGGAUUAGCUAGUUGGCGGGGUAAAGGCCCACCAAGGCGACGAUCCGUAGCUGGUCUGAGAGGAUGAUCAGCCACACUGGAACUGAGACACGGUCCAGACUCCUACGGGAGGCAGCAGUGGGGAAUAUUGGACAAAGGGCGCAAGCCUGAUCCAGCCAUACCGCGUGGGUGAAGAAGGCCUUCGGGUUGUAAAGCCCUUUUGUUGGGAAAGAAAAGCAGCAGGUUAAUACCCCGCUGUUCUGACGGUACCCAAAGAAUAAGCACCGGCUAACUUCGUG
This 491-nucleotide ribosomal RNA is filed under the name uncultured bacterium. Its description in RNAcentral is "partial 16S ribosomal RNA". It matches the Rfam family "Bacterial small subunit ribosomal RNA", at positions 29 to 507 of the family's 1533-position model. The record is from RNAcentral.